GAUGAACGCUGGCGGCGUGCCUAAUACAUGCAAGUAGAACGCUGAAGCUUGGUGCUUGCACCGAGCGGAUGAGUUGCGAACGGGUGAGUAACGCGUAGGUAACCUGCCUCUUAGCGGGGGAUAACUAUUGGAAACGAUAGCUAAUACCGCAUAAAAGUCGAUAUCGCAUGAUAUUGAUUUGAAAGGUGCAAUUGCAUCACUAAGAGAUGGACCUGCGUUGUAUUAGCUAGUUGGUGAGGUAACGGCUCACCAAGGCGACGAUACAUAGCCGACCUGAGAGGGUGAUCGGCCACACUGGGACUGAGACACGGCCCAGACUCCUACGGGAGGCAGCAGUAGGGAAUCUUCGGCAAUGGGGGCAACCCUGACCGAGCAACGCCGCGUGAGUGAAGAAGGUUUUCGGAUCGUAAAGCUCUGUUGUAAGAGAAGAACGAGUGUGAGAGUGGAAAGUUCACACUGUGACGGUAACUUACCAGAAAGGGACGGCUAACUACGUGCCAGCAGCCGCGGUAAUACGUAGGUCCCGAGCGUUAUCCGGAUUUAUUGGGCGUAAAGCGAGCGCAGGCGGUUAGAUAAGUCUGAAGUUAAAGGCUGUGGCUUAACCAUAGUACGCUUUGGAAACUGUUUAACUUGAGUGCAGAAGGGGAGAGUGGAAUUCCAUGUGUAGCGGUGAAAUGCGUAGAUAUAUGGAGGAACACCGGUGGCGAAAGCGGCUCUCUGGUCUGUAACUGACGCUGAGGCUCGAAAGCGUGGGGAGCAAACAGG
RNAcentral lists this ribosomal RNA (765 nucleotides) under uncultured Streptococcus sp. Its description in RNAcentral is "bacterial SSU rRNA". It matches the Rfam family "Bacterial small subunit ribosomal RNA", at positions 28 to 776 of the family's 1533-position model. The record is from RNAcentral. Lineage: Bacteria; Bacillati; Bacillota; Bacilli; Lactobacillales; Streptococcaceae.